Molecule: non-coding RNA, 219 nt
Filed under: Planococcus glaciei
Lineage: Bacteria; Bacillati; Bacillota; Bacilli; Caryophanales; Caryophanaceae
Description: Planomicrobium glaciei T-box sequence
Rfam family: T-box leader
About the family: Uncharged tRNA acts as the effector for transcription antitermination of genes in the T-box leader family. T-boxes are found upstream of many aminoacyl-tRNA synthetase genes and some amino acid biosynthetic genes usually in Gram-positive bacteria.
Source: RNAcentral
AGGAAAUCGUUGACGAGAAGAAGUACAUGCAGCAAGCUCCAAAGAGAGGAUCAUCACCGGCUGAAAGUGAUCCGGGCCGCUGCUGCAUCGAAAUGCCUCUCCGAGUGCUGAGUCGAAUCAAGUAGACCAGACGUACCGCCUGCGUUAAAGGUGUUCAAGAGAGAAAGGUGCUUUUGCCUUUCUAAUCAGAGUGGAACCGCGCAACGAUGCGUCUCUGUC